UACAGAGGGUGCAAGCGUUAAUCGGAGUUACUGGGCGUAAAGGGCGCGUAGGCGGUUAAAUAAGUGAGAUGUGAAAUCCCUGGGCUUAACCUAGGAACUGCAUCUUAUACUGUUUAACUGGAGUAUUGUAGAGGGUAGUGGAAUUUCCGGUGUAGCGGUGAAAUGCGUAGAGAUCGGAAGGAACACCAGUGGCGAAGGCGGCUACCUGGACAAAUACUGACGCUGAGGCGCGAAAGCGUGGGGAUCAAACAGG
This 253-nucleotide ribosomal RNA is filed under the name uncultured bacterium. Its description in RNAcentral is "partial 16S ribosomal RNA". It matches the Rfam family "Bacterial small subunit ribosomal RNA", at positions 524 to 776 of the family's 1533-position model. The record is from RNAcentral.